UGGGGAAUAUUGCACAAUGGGCGAAAGCCUGAUGCAGCAACGCCGCGUGAGUGAUGAAGGCCUUCGGGUUGUAAAGCUCUGUCUUUUGGGACGAUAAUGACGGUACCAAAGGAGGAAGCCACGGCUAACUACGUGCCAGCAGCCGCGGUAAUACGUAGGUGGCAAGCGUUGUCCGGAUUUACUGGGCGUAAAGGAUGCGUAGGCGGAUUUUUAAGUGAGAUGUGAAAACCCUAGCUUAACUUGGGGACUGCAUUUCAUACUGGAAAUCUAGAGUGCGGGAGAGGAGAAUGGAAUUCCUAGUGUAGCGGUGAAAUGCGUAGAGAUUAGGAAGAACACCAGUGGCGAAGGCGAUUCUCUGGACCGUAACUGACGCUGAGGCAUGAAAGCGUGGGUAGCAAACAGGAUUAGAUACCCUGGUAGUCCACGCCGUAAACGAUGAGUACUAGGUGUAGGAGGUAUCGACCCCUUCUGUGCCGCAGUUAACACAAUAAGUACUCCGCCUGGGAAGUACGAUCGCAAGAUUAAAACUCAAAUGAAUUGACGGGGUCAUAGCUG
This 555-nucleotide ribosomal RNA is filed under the name uncultured bacterium. Its description in RNAcentral is "partial 16S ribosomal RNA". It matches the Rfam family "Bacterial small subunit ribosomal RNA", at positions 355 to 932 of the family's 1533-position model. The record is from RNAcentral.